This 370-nucleotide ribosomal RNA is filed under the name uncultured Sneathia sp. RNAcentral's name for it is "bacterial SSU rRNA". It matches the Rfam family "Bacterial small subunit ribosomal RNA", at positions 147 to 524 of the family's 1533-position model. Lineage: Bacteria; Fusobacteriati; Fusobacteriota; Fusobacteriia; Fusobacteriales; Leptotrichiaceae. The record is from RNAcentral.
CAGAGGGAAACUUCUGAUAAUACUAGAUAAAGUUAGUAGUAGCAUUACUAAGUAAUGAAAAGUAGCAAUACGCUAUAUGAGAGCUUUUGCAUCCUAUUAGCUAGUUGGUGGGGUAAAAGCCCCUACCCAAGGCGAUGAUAGGUAGCGGCCCUGAGAGGGUGGACGGCCACAAGGGGACUGAGAUACGGCCCUUACUCCUACGGGGAGGCAGCAGUGGGGAAUAUUGGACAAUGGAGGCAACUCUGAUCCAGCAAUUCUGUGUGUGUGAAGAAGGUUUUAGGACUGUAAAACACUUUUAGUAGGGGAAGAAAGAAAUGACGGUACCUACAGAAGAAGCGACGGCUAAAUACGUGCCAGCAGCCGCGGUAAU